This 253-nucleotide ribosomal RNA is filed under the name uncultured bacterium. Its description in RNAcentral is "partial 16S ribosomal RNA". It matches the Rfam family "Bacterial small subunit ribosomal RNA", at positions 524 to 776 of the family's 1533-position model. The record is from RNAcentral.
UACGUAGGGUGCAAGCGUUAAUCGGAAUUACUGGGCGUAAAGCGUGCGCAGGCGGUUCGUUGUGUCGGUGGUGAAAGCCCCGGGCUUAACCUGGGAAUGGCCAUGGAAACUGGCGAACUGGAGUGUGGCAGAGGGGGGUGGAAUUCCGGGUGGAGUGGUGAAAUGCGUAGAGAUCCGGAGGAACACCAAAGGCGAAGGCAGUGUCCUGGGGAGUACCUGACGCUCAGGUGCGAAAGCCAGGGGAGCGAACGGG